Molecule: ribosomal RNA, 613 nt
Filed under: uncultured bacterium
Lineage: Bacteria
Description: bacterial SSU rRNA
Rfam family: Bacterial small subunit ribosomal RNA (bases 1-517)
Source: RNAcentral
CCUACGGGAGGCAGCAGUGGGGAAUAUUGGACAAUGGGCGAAAGCCUGAUCCAGCAAUGCCGCGUGAGUGAUGAAGGCCUUAGGGUUGUAAAGCUCUUUUACCAGGGAUGAUAAUGACAGUACCUGGAGAAUAAGCUCCGGCUAACUCCGUGCCAGCAGCCGCGGUAAUACGGAGGGAGCUAGCGUUGUUCGGAAUUACUGGGCGUAAAGCGUGCGUAGGCGGCUAUUCAAGUCAGAGGUGAAAGCCCGGGGCUCAACCCCGGAACUGCCUUUGAAACUAGGUAGCUAGAAUCUUGGAGAGGUUAGUGGAAUUCCGAGUGUAGAGGUGAAAUUCGUAGAUAUUCGGAAGAACACCAGUGGCGAAGGCGACUAACUGGACAAGCAUUGACGCUGAGGCACGAAAGCGUGGGGAGCAAACAGGAUUAGAUACCCUGGUAGUCCACGCCGUAAACGAUGAUAACUAGCUGUUCGGGUACUUGGUAUCUGAGUGGCGCAGCUACGCAUAAGUUAUACCGCCGUCGGGUAGGUACGGUCGCGAAGAAGUUAAAACGUUAAAGGUAAAGUUAGUAACGGUACGUGUUAGAGUAGCGACGGACGACGACGAGGGAGGAGG